CCUACGGGCGGCAGCAGUGAGGAAUAUUGGUCAAUGGACGAGAGUCUGAACCAGCCAAGUAGCGUGAAGGAUGACUGCCCUAUGGGUUGUAAACUUCUUUUAUAUGGGAAUAAAAUGUUCCACGUGUGGGAUUUUGUAUGUACCAUAUGAAUAAGGAUCAGCUAACUCCGUGCCAGCCGCCGCGGUAAUACGGAGGAUCCGAGCGUUAUCCGGAUUUAUUGGGUUUAAAGGGAGCGUAGGUGGAUUGUUAAGUCAGUUGUGAAAGUUUGCGGCUAAACCGUAAAAUUGCAGUUGAAACUGGCAGUCUUGAGUACAGUAGAGGUGGGCGGAAUUCGUGGUGUAGCGGUGAAAUGCUUAGAUAUCACGAAGAACUCCGAUUGCGAAGGCAGCUCACUGGACUGCAACUGACACUGAGGCUCGAAAGUGUGGGUAUCAAACAGGAUUAGAUACCCCAGUAGUC
RNAcentral lists this ribosomal RNA (460 nucleotides) under uncultured bacterium. Its description in RNAcentral is "partial 16S ribosomal RNA". It matches the Rfam family "Bacterial small subunit ribosomal RNA", at positions 338 to 795 of the family's 1533-position model. The record is from RNAcentral.